CUUUACUGAACAUGUACGUGCCUAGGAAGUCUCAGGAAUGGGUAAGUGCUCCUGCUCCCACACAGUCUACAGACCUGGGUGCAAUGGUGAGAAAGACCUCAGUAAAGCAAAGGAAUUACGAAAGGGAGAGGGGAGGCAGCAGCUGAGGCUGUGGUGGGAGAAGAAUGACAAGAACUGAGCGUGGGCCACGGGCUCUUACCUUCAGCAACUUCAUCAGCUCUUCCAGCUGGACCAUCAGCUCCCGCCUGCUCUCCUGCAGGGCCGACAUCCUCUGCUCCAGUUCAUCCUUCCUUUGCCUAUCCAAGACGAGAAGCCUAUCAGAUAAAGAGACCCUCAAAGAUGGAUCUAAGGCCAGGUGAAAUGGAUUUCAGACCUGAUCCUGCUACUUACCAGUUAUGAGACGCUGAGCAAGUCAUUUAGCAUCCAAUACCUCAUAAAAUGGUGAUAAUGUCUGUUUUGCCUACUUCCUGGACUGUUCUGAGAAUAAUAGGUAAAAGUGCUUUGGAAAGUUUAGAUGACUAUAUAAAGGUAUUACUUAUAUUACCAGAGUGAAUUAAUGAUUAAAAAACUCUUUAGAAAAUCAAUGCCUUUUGAAAAAUAUAUAAAAUUAGCCCAAAUUUAGAUUAAUAGUAAAGAAACCAUAUUAAACUGCUCAGAGAAAACAGGGUCCAGUAGUAAGUACUUUCAGCACUAGACAGAUUCAAGAAGGAUGACAGAUCAGGACGGCUCCCUGUGUUCAAGAACAGUCACUUUUCCUUGAGGAUAGAUUUUAUGCCAUCUACUCCAGCUCAAUAUGUCCAAAACCAGACUUAAGACUUUAUUCCCUAAAUGGUUUUCUUGUCUCUGUCUCUUUUUUUUUCCUUGUCUCUGUCUCUUUUCCCUGUCUCUGCUAUUUUUCCUUCCAGGUGUCAUGGUUGAAAAACUCAGUCCUCUUUGUUACUUUCUUCUUUAUAUCCUGUAUUCAAUCAAUAACUCAAUUCAGAUCAUUCUUUCUUGGAAAAUGUAUGUGCCUAUCUUUCUAUUCCCAUUUCUCUCACUUUAUCUAAGCACUCCUUACCUCAAGCAUGAAACAGUCUCCUUAUGUGAUUAAUCCUGCUUUCUUUUUUUUUUUUUUUGUGACGGAGUCUCACUCUGUCGCCCAGGCUGGAGUGCAGUGGUGCCAUCUUGUCUCAACUGCAACCUCCGCUUCCCCAGUUCAAGUGAUUCUCCUGCCUCAGCCUCCUAAAUAGCUGGGAUUACAGGCAUCGCCACCAUGCCCAGUUAAUUUUUGUAUUUUUAGUAGAGAUGGAGUUUCACCAUGUUGGCCAGGCUGGUCUCGAACUCCUGACCUCAAGUGAUCCACCUGCCUCAGCCUCCCAAAGUGCUGGGAUUACAGUCGUGAGCCACCGCACCUGGCUCUUUCAUCUUUUAUGGUGAGGAAAAAGCAGUGAAAUAGAAGUCAAUGGCCUCAAAGUUGAGUAUCAGCACCAGUAUUUACCAAAUAUGCAACCUUAGACAAGUCACUUAGCCUCAGUUUUCUCUCUUCUAAAAGGGGACUAGUAACAGCAACAAUAUUCUGAGGAUCAUAUAAGGUAAUAAAUAUGAGAGUGUUCUACGAACUUUAAACUGCCGCUCAAAACAAAGCUAUGUUCAUUUCAUCAUCCCAUAAUGAUCUCAACAGACUUUCUAGCAUCACUGACCCUUGCCUGUGCAAUCGAGACCUACGCUGUCUAUCACAGCAGCCGCUAGCCACGCGUGACUACCGAGCCCCUGAAACAGGGCUAGGCUGAACUGAGAUGCACGGCAAUUGUAACAUACACACUGGAAUUCAAAGACUUAGUGCAGGAAACAGCAAAGUAUCUGGAUCAUGUUUUAAUACUGAUUACAUGUUGAAAGGACAAUAUUUUGAAAAUAUCAGGUUAAGUAAGAUAUACUAUUAAAAUUAAUGACGCCUAUUACUUUUUGGUUUUUCAAUGAGGCUGUUAGAAAUGUUUUGAUUAUGUGCGUGGCCUGCAUUUCUAUCGGCGAGUGCGGCUCUAGAUCCCAUCUACAUUCCUGUCCUUAGUACCACACCUCCUAUCUUAUGCCCUUUGUGUCUGGACCUCCAGCUUACGGUUCAUUUUUCCUAAGUGGGCUCCAUCAUUUUAUAACUCACCUCUCUUCCAAAUCUUAUUCAUUCCGUAAUGUCUGACCCAACAUCACUGUCGGGAAGCUGCUCCUGAUCACUUCAGCAGGGACUGCUUGAUUAAGCACUACAGUAAUUAGUGCUCCUCAGUGGUACUUAAUUUACUUUACUGCUGCCAUUCCUACCAUGAUGCAAAAUCCUUGAGGUCAGGGGAUGGGCCUUACUCAUCCUUGCAUGUAUUGAAGGAUUAAGAAAAUAUCAUGCAUCCAGUAUCACCUAAUUAACAUCUACUGAACUUACCAAAAUCAUGAUUUGAAACUCUCCAAGGGUUUCCAAUGACCUAACAAUUAAGACUUUCUAGAAUCUGAUCUCAAUUGCCUGGCUAAUUAUAUCUCCUAUCACUGGCACUCUGAAGAUUGAUGUAAUGAAUGAUUGAAAAGAAAUUCUUAGUUCCAAGACUCUUUCCCUUUUCUGAAAUGUGCCAUAAUUAUUUGGGGGGAAUCAUGCUGAACCCCAAGUGCACUUCCAAUCUGAAAUGUUUUGUCCUACACUCCAUCCAAAUCAUUAUCUACUUUUCAUGGUCUAGCUCAACUUCUACCACCUCCAUGGUUCCAAAUGCUUCCAGAGGAAAAUUAGACACACAAAGGUGGUAGGGAAUAAAUAUAGAUAUAAUACCUAUAUUAUAUAGGUAUUAUAUAUGUAAAAUCUUGUGUGUAUACAUACAUUAUAUUAUAUAUAUUUCCCUACACAGAUUUCUUAUCCAUACUGUUUAUUGACAUUGCACAAUAUUUUUUAACUAUCAAAUUAUUUUAUGUUUUGUUCCAAAACCAGAUUAUAAGUUUUUAGGAAGGACUCAUUGUCUUCUAGUCUUCAUACUCUCUACAUUUCCAGUGCAGUAGACCCUCGAUAAGAAGGAUCUACUCAUUCAAUGUUCUAGGAAGACUUCUUCCUCUGAACUCCUGAGCCUGGGUGUGAUAUUCUUUAUCUGUACUGUGUGUGACCAAACAAUUACGGUAUAAGCUGAACAUGAAUGAGCUACAGCUACAUCCAACCACAGAGAACGAUCCUAAAGGCUAAUAUGGUGGGGGUAGGGGGUGGAGAGGGAAGUCCUCUGGGACUAUCCCCACCAUAUUAGUAUAAUAUUUCUAUUAAGCUUAGAAAACAAAAAGCAAAACUAAACAGCUUAUUACAUAGGAUAGUGAUAAUGCGACAAUAUUGUUUUAAACACAAGGUAAUGAUAAACCAAAUUCUGGAUAGGCGUUCACCCAGUGGGGAAGGUGGAGGCAAGGAAAUGGGGUAAGGGAGAGGUACUUCUAUGGAUGGCAUUGUUUUAGUCAUAUUAUGAGUUCUCAAAUAGGAUGUGGGUUUAUAAGUAUUCAUUUGACUAUUACGCUUCAUAUACGUUUGUCGCACACACAUUCGUCAUACAUUUUAUUGUAAGCAACGUACCAUUAAAAAUAAUAAUAAAGGAAGAAAAGGCAUCCCUGGUGGUCAAGGCUCAUAGCCACUCACCCUAUGGGUGAAGUUGUCUACCUUGUUUUAUUAUACUAGCUGGGUGCUGGCAGUCCCUGGCCUCAUAUAUACUGAUCAAAACCAGACAGAUGUCAGAUACCUACAAGUGAAUCCAGCCCUUUAUGUGUCUUUUGAUAAGCAAAAGUUCUUAAUAUUAAUAUAAAUGGAUUUACCAACUUCUUCUUUCAUGGUAAUUCUGAGAUACUACUUUCUAUUCCAAAAUCCUGAGGACAUUCUCCUACUUUCUUCUAGAAUUUUUUUUUUUUUGAGAUGGAGUUUUGCUCUUGUUGCCCAGGCUGGAGUGCAAUGGCAUGAUCUUGGCUCACCGCAACCUCCGCCUCCCAGGUUCAAGCAAUUCUCCUGCCUCAGCCUCCCGAGUCUUCUAGAAGUUUUAAAGUUCUGUAUUCAUGUUGAAUCCAUCUGGUGUCGGUUUUUGUAAUUAGUGUGAAGUAGAAGACCAGUAUGUUUUGUACAUAGGCAUAGAAAACUGUCCCAGCACACUUUAAAAUAGUCCCUCCUUUCUUCAGUGAUAUAGGAACUGCUUUUGAGGUUAAAUACUUUCUGAUUACUCCAACUUCAGACCCUCAUUGGUCUCAGAUUUACAUUUCUGCUUCUUGCUAUCCUAUGUGACAUUCCUGGACUCAGCCCUGCUACUACAUCUAAGAUAUUUUUCAGAUCCUUCCGGCUUAACUGAGCACUUUCAGCAAUCCAGUUUCAGCAACAGUUAGACUCAGGAUGACAGGCCUUUUUGCUUUUCUAGAUAUAAAACCAGGCACUAGACAACAGGUGCAUCUUACGCCAACAGCCUAGACUUACACUCUGCCCAAGUCAGCAGCAUUUGUGUUCCCAUCCUCCCUAGUACGACACCAGCUGUACUAACACCACAGACUUGCAGCAGUAAACCACAGAGCCACCCAAAUCUCAGCCUAACUACAUUGAGAAACUAAAAUAAGUUUUUAAGAGAACGAAAAUCUCUAUACAUCUAAUGAUUUUUUUUCACCUGCACAGUUUAAAUUCUUUAUGACUCUACUAUGACAACUUUUAUUGAUGAUAUAAAUCUAAACAGUAGAACAUCUACAGAAAACAAUAAUCUCCAUUCUCUGGGAAAAGAAACAAGAGGCUACACAGAAUCCUAGAUGAUAGCAAAUUAAAAAUCAACCUAAACAGAAAGAAUCCACUAUUUGAAAAUCUAGAAAUCUGGUGAGAAGUCACUAAAUGUAGUUUCCAUAAUGUCUUAACUUACAGAAGAGUGCGUACACACACACACACACACACACACACACACACACACACCCCUUUCUAAGGCUCAUAGGCAAUAAGACCCUAACAAUGGAUCAGAUCACUUCUGUGAAGACUUCCCCAUUCCCUCCAAAACACCAUCAAACAUGGUGGUGACGCUGCUCUCUAUUCCCAUUCUCAUCCUAUGUCCUUAGUUUCCUGAUUCUUGAGACACUUUGUUUAGAAGCCAUGGUGCAAGGGUUUCAUGUCUCAGAGAUGCGCACAGGAAGCAUCCUUCUCCUUCGGCAGAGCCCUGCAUUGACUGUAAAGUGCCAGGAGAAUAUACUCACAGCAAAGGCAAAGCAUUCUUCCCGCCAAGUGUCUCUAAAGUCAGACAAAUUAGCAAGUUAAGAGACAGACUGCAGCACAGUGGUCUUCUUAAAGCAAUCACAGAAGUAUAAACAGUGCCCUGCUGGUCCUGGAGCUGGGAGACUGGUAUUUACCAAGUUCUGUGAUAAUGGCUGACAUUCUUAGAGUGAUCUCUAAUGGAACCCAGACAUCUGAAGCAGCAACAGAAUGGGUGAACUCUUCAGUGGUCUGCGCUCACAGGAUUGUUUAUACUGAACAACAGAUUCUACCCCACUCCUUUGGUUUCCUCAGAUAAGUUCCAUCCAUAGUAGAUUACAUGUGGCAAGUGGUAGAGUGUCCCUACUCACCUCAGCAGCCGCAGCUCUGCCAGCAGCGUGGGGUUCUGCUGUGCCUUCUCAGGGGUGGGCUGGGAGGCCUGCUCGUGUUCCAGGCGGAGACGCUGAAUCUCCUGCAGGAUCUCUCUAGAGAGGAUGGGUGAACGGAAAGGGGCUGCACAGUGCUUCUCACUCACGCUCCCUCUUUCCCUAUUACAACUUUUCAACUCUAGCAGUGCCUCCUCUACCAAUCUUGUUUUGAUUGCUUCCAAAUGGCCAAGAGGUGAAAUGGACACCUUCUCAAUACUGCUUCACCUGACAUUUCCUCAACAAAGCAAUCCUUUGUGGUGGAAAAAGUCAUAAAAAUACUCUUCUCAAGGACCUGAAAAAUCUCCAAGAAAGGAAAAUUACAGCCAGAAUACUUUAUUUACUCCGUUCCACUCAGGCAGGAGGAAAAGGGAACUCCUUGCAACCUCCUAAUGCAGGUCCUGUGCUGACUUCCCUUAAUCCUUCCCUGCCCCUUCCUUCCCUCUGUCCCCGAUGCCCCAGUAGACAGCUAUGUUGCUUCUAUCUAUGCCUGUUACCUUAGGUCGGGUCUCCACAUCCUGGCUUCUACCUUUCAGUACAUAAUGGUGUGCUGUCUGCUCUCUGUGCCGUUAAAUGGCAUUAAUUUUUUUUUUUUUUUAAGGAGAGACCAGACAGUCCUACAUAGCAUAAUGGGUCAGGACAAGAUGACUAGAUACAGCAAAAUGUUGCUGGGAAGCAGAGUGGAAAACGCAAUUGUGAGAGGGGGUCACACGGAUGGGUGGGAGGAGGCCCUGCUAAAAGGAAUCCCCCGAGGGCAGGUGAGCAGAGCUGUGGACUACCAGAAUCAACAGCAUGCAGACAGACACAAAUCAGCGUCCAGGGCAUUCCCUGGACUUGGGCUAGCCUAGGUUCACUGAGGCAAGGUCUUCCUUGGCGGUCAAAAGCCACCUAGUAUCCAAGGAAAAUGAGAAUCAGAUACGCACGUGAUAAUCCUGGACUCUGGAAGUGGGCUCAGCCUCUGCGUUCUUACCUGUUUUUGUUUUCCAGUUCUGCAAUAAGCUGUCUUUGUUGUUUGUUGGCAUCAAAGUUAAAGCUCAAGUCAGUGGGAGGACGAGUCUAAAGUGGGGAAGUCGGGAGAAAGUUUUUUUUUUUCUGAUCCAAAUAUACCCAGAGUUCUAGAUUGACUGAUUUUUAAAAAAGAUUUUUGACAUAUAAUUUACAUAUCAUAAAUCCACCCGUUUUAAGUAUACAAUUCAAUGAGUCUUAGUAAAUUUAAACAGUUGUGCAACCAAUCACCACAGUCCAGUUUUAGAACAUUUUCCAUCACCGCAAAAAAUUCCCUCAUGCCAGUUUGUCACCAGUCGCCACUCCCACCCCCAACCUCAGGCAGCCAUGCGUCUGCUUUCUGUCUAUAGUUCUGCCUUUUCUAGAAACUUCAUAUAAACACAUAGUCUUUGGUUUCUGGCUUCCACUUGGCAUAAUGUUUUUGGGGUUAAUUCAUGUUUUUCCAUGAACUAGUCUUUUUUUUUUUUUUUUUUUUUUGAGAUAAGGUCUUGCUCUAUCACACAGGCUGGUAUGCAGGAUGCAGUGGCAUGAUCACAGCUCACUGCACUCUUGAACUCCUGGGCUCUCACCUUGGCCUCUGAGUAGAUGGGACUAAAGGCACAUGCCACCGUGCCUGGCCUAGUAGUCCCUUCUUUUUUAUUGCUGUAUAGUAUUCUAUUGUUUCCAGCUUUUGGUUAUUAUCUAUUGUUUCCAGCUUUUGGUUAUUACAAAUGAAGAUGCUAUGAACUUUCAUUCACAAGUAUUUGUCUAUGUAUGUUUUCAUUUCUCUUGGGUAGACACCUAGGAGUAAAAUUGCUGAAUUAUAUGAUAACUAUAAUUAACAUCUGAGGAACUCCCAAACUGCUUUCUAAAGUGGCUGUACCAUUUUACAAUUGCAUUAAUAAUAAAUGAGAUUUCCAAUUUCUCUACAUCUUCACCAACACCUGUUGUUUUAUUUACUUUUUAUUUUUUAUUUACUUACUACUUUUUUCUUUUAACCAUCCUAGUAGGUAUCAAGUUCUCAAUAGUAAAUUUUUUAAAAAUUAAGAUAUAAUUUUCCUACCAUAAAAUCCACUUUUAAAAAGCAUAUAAUUCAGUAAUUUUUUUUCCUUUUUGAGACAGAGUCUCACUCUGUCACCAGGCUGGACUGCAACGGCAUGAUCUUAGUUCACUGCAACCUCUGCCUCCCGAGUUCAAGCAAUUCUCCUGCCUCAGCCUCCCGGGUAGCUGGGACUACAGGUGUGCACCACCAUGCUCAGCUCAUUGUUUGUAUUUUUAGUAGAGACAGGGUUUCACCAUAUUGGCGAGGCUGGUCUCAAACUCCUGACCUCAAAUAAUCCACCCACCUUGGCCUCCCAAAGUCCUGGGAUUACAGGUGUGAGCCAUCAGGCUUGGCCGAAUUCAGUAGUUUUAAUGUAUUCAUGAGGUUGUGAAGCCACCACCCCAAAAAGAAACAGCAUACCCAUUAAGUAGUCAUUCCCCAUCCCCCUUCCCUCGCCCUUGACCUCCAUUAUCCAUCUCUAUGAAUUUGCCUAUUCUGGAUAUUUCAUAUAAAUGGAGCCAUACAAUAUUGACCUUUUAUGUCUAUCUUUUUUCACUUAGCAAAAUGUUUUUAAAGUUCACCCAUGUUGUACCACAUAUCAGUACUUCAUUCCCUUUUACAGCUGAAUAAUAUUCCAUUACAUGGAUAUACCACUAUUUGUUUACCCAUUCAUCAGCUGAUGAACAUUUGGGUUGUUACCACUUUUCAGCUGUUUUGAAUAGUGCUGCUUUGAGCAUGUAUGUUGAGUUAUGUUAUUAUUUCUCUUGUGUACGUACCUAGGAAUGGAAUUACUGGGUCAUAUGGUAACUGCCUUUUGAGAAACUGCCAAACUGUUUUCAAAAGUGACUGUAUUAUUUUACAUUCCUGCCAGCAAUGUAUCAAGGUUCUAUUUUUUCCACAUCAUCCUAAUGGGUGUGAAGUGGUAUCUCAUUGUAAGGCAAUUCGUAUUUCCCCAAUGACUAGUAUGUUGAGCGUACUUUCAUGUGCUUACUGGCCAUUUGUAUAUGUUUUGUGGAGAAAUUAUGUGAUUGUGAUUUGCAUAUCCACUGAUAUUUCUGACCCUUGUUAACUCCUUUAAGAAUAUGGUAGCCAGCAGGUGCGGUGGCUCACACUUGUAAUCCAGCACUUCGGGAAGCCGAGGCAGGAGGAUCAUGAGGUCAGGAGUUCAAGACCAGCAUGGCCAACAUGGUGAAACCUUGUCUCUAGUAAAAAUACAAAAAUUAGCCAGGUGUGGUGGUGGGCGCCUGUAAUCUCAGCUACUUGGGAGGCUGAGGCAGAAGAAUUGCUUGAACCUGGGAGGUGGUGGUUAUAGUGAGCUGAGAUUGUGCCACUGCACUCCAGCCUGGGUGACAGAGCGAGACUCCAUCUGGGGAAAAAAGAAAAAAAAAAGAAUAUGGUAGCCAAUGAACAUGAGUAGGUGGUGGCUCCCUUUUAUUGAUUAACCAGAAAGGCAGCUCUCACUGAGGGCUCCACGAUGACCCUGCUUCACUCUGUACACUCUUGGCUCUGCCUGAAACAUGUUGUACCAUGAAGACCUUGUUUCCUGUCUAGAGCAUGAAGAUUCAGUAAGUCUUUUCAUGUGGCAGUUUCUAAAUAAACAAGGGCAAAACAGCAUAGCAAAUCUGGGUAAGAGGCUUUUUACCAAAUUAUCAAGUGUUUUUCUUUUUUAAAAGAAAAAAAAAACCAAGAUGAUUUUUCUUCCUCCAGAGAAGCAUGGACUGGCAGCCUACUGAGUAAAUUUUCUAUAUUGUAGUCAGUCUUGUGAGAGCCUGAGUUGAGUCUCAGAAAAGUAGCUUGCUUGAGACUGAGGCUGGCUGUGAAGAACAGGUUUGCAAUUCCUGAAAACUGGAGCUAAAAGUAACAGCUGCUUAAUAGAGUGAGACGAGGGAAAAUUAUGGGUCAGGAGGUAAGCUCUGAAAGAAAUUUGCUUCAUAUGAUGAUGAAAAGAAGCCCUGUGGCACUUCUCUGGAAGUAUCUAGAGAAGCUUUCUGGUUUUGAGUAACUGCAAAGCCAAGGGAUCUUCCACAGAGGAGGUUAAUAUAGGAAUCAAGUCAUUAUCAACAGAGAUUCCUAAUCAGGUAAGACUGGUUGGCUCCAAGAAGCACUGUAAUGCAAAUAUAAAGAAGUAGGGGUGGAGGAAGGUUCCAAUCCUGAGGCAGCAGUUCCCCUAGGGGCAGCUGGUGUCCCGGCAGGACUCCUCAGUGAUGAGUGUCCAGUGAUGGCUUAUCUCACUCAAUCAAACUUUAAAUACAGUCAAGUAUACAUCAAAUAACAGAAACUUAGAACUUUUAUCUAUGUACUUUUUUUUUUUUUUGAGACAGAAUCUUGCUGUGUCGCCCAAGCUGGAGUGCAGUGGCAUGAUCUCGGUUCACUGCAGCCUCCGCCUCCUGGGUUCAAGCGAUUUUCCUGCCUCAGCCUCCUGAGUAGCUGGGAUUAUCAGCAUGUGCCACCAUGCCUGGCUAAUUUUUGUGUUUUAAGUAGGGACAGGGUUUCACCAUGUUGGCUAGGCUGGUCUCAAACUCCUGACCUCAAGUGAUCUGCUCACCUCGGCCUUCCCGAGUGCUGGGGUUACAGGCAUGAGCCACCGCACUCAGCUUUUAUUUACAAUCUUAAACACCAUAGUGCUCAUUAAGAAGAAGAAGAAGAAAAAAGCCAAGUCUCUUCCUAAAAUGCCUUCAGGACACUGAAGGGAAAAAGACGGGAAUGAUUUCAUAACAACAUAGGAGACUUUGUUGAUCCAGUUCAUAAAGACAUAGGAUGCUUUGGCCAGAGAGACAUGAAGAUGAUUUCUUUCAAAAAAUAAGUAGUUCACACAUUUAUUCAACAGAUACUUCCUGAGCUCCUACUAUGUGCCAGGCACUGCUCUACCAGUUAGGGAUGUUCUGGUGAAUAGCCCCACCCCCAUGGAGCUCAGAUUACACUGGGAGAAAAAUAAGAAACCCAAAAAAUAAAUAUAGACAUCAGCAGGGAUAAUGCAAUAAAGAAAUGCAGGGUAAGGAAACAGUGAACCGGGACAGAAAAUUCUUUUUAAAUGAGGUGGUGAUGAAAGGGCUCUCAGAGACUCAAUGAAGUGAGGAAGCCAACCAGGUGAAGGUCUGAGGGAAGGCCUGCUGGGCAGAAAGAAGGGCAAAUGCAAGGCCCUGCAGCUGCUUGGGCUUGGGGUGUUCAGAUCAGUGCUGACGGAGGGAAGGAAGCUGUGGUAAGAGCGAGGCACGGGGAGAUGAAGGGUCUAGACCAGGGGUAUCCAAUCUUUUGGCUUCCCUGGGCCACACUGGAAGAACUGUGUCUUGGGCCACACACAAAAAAACUAAUGAUAGCUGAUGAGCUAAAAAUAAAUAAAUAAAUAAAUACACAAAUCACAAAAAAAUCUCAUAAUGUUUUAAGAAAAUGUAUGAAUUUUUGUUGGGCCACAUUCAAAGCCAUCCUGGGCUGCAUGCAGCCCACAGGCCAUGGGUUGGACAAGCUUGGUCUAGACCAUACAGGGCCUCUGAGCCAUGGAGAGGAGUUUCCAUUUCAUUCUGAAUGUGGUGUGAAGCCACUGUAGGAUUCUGGGCAGGGGAAUAUGAAAUUUGAUUAUAUGUGUUAAAAACACUGUUCUACAUUUACAUAAAUAAGUGGCUGAGUAAUUUAAUACAUGGGGAAGAACAGACAAAUUUCCCAUACAGAAGAAUUCCAAAUAAGGUAUGGACAUACUCUGCCCUCAAGGAGGUGAAGCCUAACUCCCCAUUCCUUAAGAGAAGCCUGUGCAUAGUGACUUCCUUCCGAAGAGUCUGUGUGGAAAGGAAAAGGAAUAACUUUAUGUUGGAGAAACCUGACGAACACUGCCACAGCCAGGUGAUCAAGGUCAGCAUCAACAGUGACAACUCAUGUUGAUAGUAGGUACCUCUUGAUACGCCAUGAUGAAAAUGGCACUUUACCUUUUCCUUUCCCAAACCCAUAACCCCAGUUCUAAUCAAGAGAUAAACAUCGGACAAAUUACAGUUAUUAGACAGUCUAUAUCUGACUAGUACUCCUAAAAAUUGUCAUGGUCAUCAAAAACAAGGAAAGUCAGAGAAACUGUCACAGCUAAGAGGAGCCUAAGAUGACAUGACAACUAAAUGUAAUGUAUCCUGGAUGGAACAGAAGAAGGACAUUAGGUAAAAACUUAGAAAAUAUGAAUAAAGUAUGGACUUUAGUUAAUAAUAAUGUAUCAAUAUUGCUUCACUAAUUGCAAUGAAUGUACCAUACUAAUUCAAGAUGUUAAUAACAGGGGAAACUUGGCUGGGUUGCUCACUCCUGUAAUCCCAGCACUCUGGGAGACAGAGGUGGGAGGUCAUUUGAGGCCAGGAGUUCGAGACCAGCCUGGUCAACACGGCAAAACCCCUACUCUACAAAAAAUACAAAAAAAAUUAACCAGGCUUGGUGGCGCGUGCCUGUAGUCCCAGCUACUAGGGGGCUGAGGUGGGAGGAUUGCUUAAGCCUGGGAGGUUGAGGCUGCAGUGAGCUGAGAUCACACCACUGCACUCCAGUCUGAGUGACAGAGUGAGACCCCGUCUCAAAAUAAUAAUAGGGGAAACUGGGUGUAGAUUAUAGAGAACUCUCUGUACUAUCUUUGAAAUUUUUCUGUAAAUCUAAAACUUUUAAAAUAAGGUUUAAAAAAUAAACAUUGCUUUGGCUACUCGGUGGAGAAUUUAGUGUAGUAGGAGAG
RNAcentral lists this long non-coding RNA (12317 nucleotides) under Homo sapiens (human). RNAcentral's name for it is "HSALNT0301216". The record is from RNAcentral. Lineage: Eukaryota; Metazoa; Chordata; Mammalia; Primates; Hominidae.